Molecule: ribosomal RNA, 305 nt
Filed under: uncultured bacterium
Lineage: Bacteria
Description: bacterial SSU rRNA
Rfam family: Bacterial small subunit ribosomal RNA
Source: RNAcentral
GGGACCUACGGGGAGCAGCAGUGGGGAAUAUUGGGCAAUGGGCGCAAGCCUGACCCAGCAACGCCGUGUGAAGGAAGAAGGCUUUCGGGUUGUAAACUUCUUUUAUCAGGGACGAAGCAAGUGACGGUACCUGAUGAAUAAGCCACGGCUAACUACGUGCCAGCAGCCGCGGUAAUACGUAGGUGGCGAGCGUUAUCCGGAUUUACUGGGUGUAAAGGGCGUGUAGGCGGGAAUGCAAGUCAGAUGUGAAAACUAAGGGCUCAACCCAUAGCCUGCAUUUGAAACUGUAUUUCUUGAGUGCUGGG